GUGCCAGCCGCCGCGGUAAUACGGAGGGUGCGAGCGUUGUCCGGAUUUAUUGGGUUUAAAGGGUGCGUAGGUGGCUUUUUAAGUCAGUGGUGAAAUACAGCCGCUCAACGGUUGAGGUGCCAUUGAUACUGAAGAGCUUGAAACAAGUGGAGGCUGCCGGAAUGGAUGGUGUAGCGGUGAAAUGCAUAGAUAUCAUCCAGAACACCGAUUGCGAAGGCAGGUGGCUACGUUUGAUUUGACACUGAGGCACGAAAGCAUGGGGAGCAAACAGGAUUAGAUACCCGUGUAGUCC
Molecule: ribosomal RNA, 292 nt
Filed under: uncultured bacterium
Lineage: Bacteria
Description: partial 16S ribosomal RNA
Rfam family: Bacterial small subunit ribosomal RNA
Source: RNAcentral